ACGAUGAAGUUCCUUCGGGAAUGGAUUAGUGGCGAACGGGUGAGGAACACGUGAGAAACCUGCCUUUCAUUCUGGGAUAACACCGGGAAACCGGUGCUAAUACCGGAUACUCCGUCUUGGCGGCAUCGCCGAGCCGGGAAAAAAUUUUGAUGAAAGAUGGUCUCGCGGCCUAUCAGCUAGUUGGUGAGGUAAAGGCUCACCAAGGCGACGACGGGUAGCCGGCCUGAGAGGGCGACCGGCCACACUGGGACUGAGACACGGCCCAGACUCCUACGGGAGGCAGCAGUAGGGAAUAUUGGGCAAUGGGCGCAAGCCUGACCCAGCGACGCCGCGUGAGGGAUGAAGGUCUUCGGAUUGUAAACCUCUUUCAGUAGGGAAGAAGCGAAAGUGACGGUACCUAAAGAAGAAGCACCGGCUAACUAUGUGCCAGCAGCCGCGGUAAUACAUAGGGUGCAAGCGUUGUCCGGAAUUAUUGGGCGUAAAGAGCUCGUAGGUCGUUUGUCGCGUCGAUUGUGAAAAUCUGAGGCUCAACCUCAGACCUGCAGUCGGUACGGGCAAACUAGAGUGUGGUAGGGGAGACUGGAAUUCCUGGUGUAGCGGUGGAAUGCGCAGAUAUCAGGAGGAACACCAAUGGCGAAGGCAGGUCUCUGGGCCAUAACUGACACUGAGGAGCGAAAGUGCGGGGAGCGAACAGGAUUAGAUACCCUGGUAGUCCGCACCGUAAACGGUGGGCACUAGUUGUGGGAACCUUCCACGGUUUCCGCGACGCAGCAAACGCAUUAAGUGCCCCGCCUGGGGAGUACGAUCGCAAGAUUAAAACUCAAAGGAAUUGACGGGGCCCCGCACAAGCAGCGGANCAUGCGGCUUAAUUCGACGCAACGCNNNAACCUUACCANGGCUUGACAUAUAGCGAAAAGUNGNA
This 922-nucleotide ribosomal RNA is filed under the name uncultured bacterium. Its description in RNAcentral is "bacterial SSU rRNA". It matches the Rfam family "Bacterial small subunit ribosomal RNA", at positions 66 to 1003 of the family's 1533-position model. The record is from RNAcentral.